UCGUGUCCUUCUUGUCUCUGUGUCGUCGUUUUGUUCUCGCGCUAUAACUAUCGUCAUUUCCACUCAGCCAUUUUUAAAAUCCUCUUUGGGUACCUUUCCUUUUUCCGUGUCCUUGGGUGUGAUGACUGCGGCGGCGGCCUCUUGCCUAGCGAGGCCCCUCUGCGCGUUCUCGCCGCUGGAGGGAAAUUUGGCGCGUCAGUCUGGGGUGCUGUUGUCAUGUGCCGACUGUGAGCAUGUGUUGCUCGUGUCUCGUAGGUGACGGAGCAGCGCAAGUUAGCUGUCGCUGUUGGCGAAGUACGGCCUGCUUUUUCUAUCGCUUCCCGAUUUCUUCAAGGAGAUGAUGUCAGUGGUUGUCGUCGAUUUUUGAAUCGCUCUGAAGAAUGCCGUCGACGGCGAAAAAAAAACGCAGAGGUGGUGCUUUGUGCCAGGUUGCGACGCCAGCUACAAGUCUUGCGGUGAAAGACUGCCUCUCUUUCGUGCACCUGCCCGUGAGGAUGAAUUUGAAAACUGGGCACGUGCCAUACCAAGGGCCGACAAGCUACGGCAAGAGAAUUCUGCAGUUUGCGAAAGGCAUUUUAACCCAAGGUUUAUCAUGAGACACUACGUGCACAUUGUGAAUGGAAAGGAGGUCCAUAUACCACGCGAUGUGCCUGCCCUUAAGGAGAGUGCUAUUCGAACAAUUUUCCCGAACCUUCCAAAGUAUAUGACGAAAACUCUGCCAAGAGAGAGGAAGAGAAGAAUGGGACAGGGCUCUUCCGAGCCUGCAAAGAAGAGCCGCGAAGACAUUGAUGAUUCAGAACUCCGGCGCAGUUCAUUAUCAUAAUCAAGUGCAUAAGCUUUUACAGCUUGGC
Molecule: long non-coding RNA, 851 nt
Organism: Rhipicephalus microplus (southern cattle tick)
Lineage: Eukaryota; Metazoa; Arthropoda; Arachnida; Ixodida; Ixodidae
Source: RefSeq, a predicted model, not a curated record